CGGCGAUGAUAUACCUUAUCCGCGCUUCUGAGUUUUCUCGAUGAAGCACAAUUGGUUAAAAUAUGGUUGAAUUUCUUGAUAUGAGCCA
Glycine max (soybean) is the source of this 88-nucleotide non-coding RNA. The record is from Rfam. NCBI's taxonomy places the organism in Eukaryota, Viridiplantae, Streptophyta, Magnoliopsida, Fabales, Fabaceae.